Molecule: transfer RNA, 65 nt
Filed under: Illeis koebelei
Lineage: Eukaryota; Metazoa; Arthropoda; Insecta; Coleoptera; Coccinellidae
Also listed under: 1 other name
Description: tRNA-Leu
Rfam family: tRNA
About the family: Transfer RNA (tRNA) molecules are approximately 80 nucleotides in length. Their secondary structure includes four short double-helical elements and three loops (D, anti-codon, and T loops).
Source: RNAcentral
UCUAAUAUGGCAGAUUAGUGCAUUGGAUUUAAACCCCAAAUAUAAAGAUAACUCUUUUUUUAGAA